This is a long non-coding RNA of Vitis riparia (riverbank grape), 738 nucleotides long. RefSeq lists it as uncharacterized. The transcript is spliced from 2 exons. The record is from RefSeq and is a predicted model, not a curated record. Lineage: Eukaryota; Viridiplantae; Streptophyta; Magnoliopsida; Vitales; Vitaceae.
UUCUCUCUUCUCUCUUUUUUCUCUCUGUUGUGUGAAUUUCUCAGUGAAAAAUCGAAAGCUUGUAAGCUGUAAUCGAUUCACGUGUGUCUCCAUACUACUGAUCCGCAAAUUUCUUCAGAUAAAGCCCACGCAACACUCGACUUUGAAAUUUGGGGAACCCAGGUUAGGGCAAAAGGAGAGAAAGUCACAAAGAGUCCUUAGCUUUGCCAUACUACUGAUCCGUAAAUUUCUCCAGAUAAAGCGAUUUCAUCUCCAGAGAGCAAAUGUUUAGGCGCAGCUGUAAAUCUCGAGCUUUGUUCUUUAUUCCCGUUUUUUUCUUCCGACGACCACACGAACGAACGAUAAAUAUGUACAUUUUUGUGUAUUCUUUACUUGGUCUUUCCUGAUUACCAUUUUUGUUUGGUAAUUUUUUUCAUUGAUUUCAUGCAUCUGGAACUAUUUAGUGCACGUAAUUUAGGUUUCUGGCCUAAUUUUUGGGAUUUAGGUUCUCUUGAGAUUGACAAUUAAUUAGUGGUUUUAUUUUUAAUUGCAAUUUAGCACCCGAGGAAAGCUGAAUUUCUGAACUUCUGUUGUGUGAUUAGAUGCUUAGUUUGUGACAUGACUGAUUUUCUCGAAUACCUAUGUAAUUUCUACUCUGUGGGAUGGUUGAUUUUGUUUGACCUUGAUUGAAUUUUUAAACUCUUUUUUCGCUCUUGGAUUUGGUUCUUGAGGUAAGAUAAAGUUGUGGGUAUGUUUUUA